This 501-nucleotide long non-coding RNA is filed under the name Prunus dulcis (almond). Its description in RNAcentral is "sRNA ncRNA". Lineage: Eukaryota; Viridiplantae; Streptophyta; Magnoliopsida; Rosales; Rosaceae. The record is from RNAcentral.
AUGUUCAUACUAUUUUGGGAAGAUGAACAAUACUAUUUUGUUCUUUCGGUUUCUUCUCCUAUUUUGUUCUUAUUAUAUGUUUCUUUUCAACAUGCCUUUCAUCCAGUCCUGUUUUUAGCUCAACUAUGGGAAGUUGAAGGCUUGUUCAUCAGAUUGUUUUUAUGCUUAACUGAAGUCUUAAUUAUCUUUGAUUUGAGAUAUAGCUCUGAUUUAAGUUUCGAGUUUCAUGCAUUUUUAUUAUUAUUGUACAAUUCUUUAAUCAAAAUGUCAUUUGCUCUACAUCUGCAUAUGGGUGGUUCAGUCAUUAUUUCUAUAUCAGUUCUGUGUUUCAUGAAUAUAACGAUUGUAUACAAAUUUUUGUUUAUUUUUCAUUUUCUUAUGAAAGAAUCAGUAAUAUCAUUCUAUUAUUCAUUGAUGGUAUGCAGAUUCUAUAUUUUUGUUUUCACCAUUGGCCAUCCAUACACGGAAUAUCCGUUAGUGCACACUUUUAGUGCAGAUUAG